UCCUGAUUUCAUGCUUUAAUUGUCCUAUCCAUUUACUAUUGGCGAGUUUCUAUAAUUAUACAUGAACAGGAGCUAUUGACUUCAACCUGGACAUAUAGAAACAAUCUAUUGAAUUACAAAACUAAUUGAAUCAUGUCAAAAUUACUGAAGUACUAAUAAUCCAAACCAAAUUAUUGACUAUAAACUCACACAUUCACAAAUACUAGUGCUAUAAUCUAUGCAUCCAAACACUCCAAUCAAAUACAAGUAUUACAACCCUGGACAGUUUGUCAUAACAUGAUUUAAACAUUGAGUUUAUUCCAAAUAAAAUAUUAGACUAAUGAAUCAGUGAGCUUCGAAGAUGAUCAUGCAGCAAAUGUGUUUUCCAUUUCAUGAAGGAGUUUACAUUGAUUCCAAAUGUGUACCUCGAAGGGAUUUGACAGAGGAAGAGAUCAGUUACAGUAAACAGAUGAGCAGCAGCACAGUAGUACUUGAAAACCCAGAAAAUAGAAGGAAUAGCUCAGAAACAAAUUGAAUAUAGCAGGAUUAGCAACAGAUGAUUCCAGCAGUAGAGAAAAACCAAAUCAAACCCCAGUAUUGUUUCAAAUCCAAACAGGACCGCAAAAUAAACCCAAAAACAGUACCAGAAUGCUUAGCUAUUCGAUCCAAAUCUAAUCGACCAGCUACUAAAUACCUCCAGAUGCCCUUGUAAACCAAAGUCAAAGUAGAAGCAAAGAAAUUCAAAUAGGAGCUGAAAAUGAGUUAACUAGGCAAUGAAACAGUGAUAUAUUCUGGGUUUUUUUUAUUUUAAAUUUUUUUAAUUUUUGAAGGUUUGAAUCUAAAAAAUACAGAUCUGAAAAAUAAGGAAAAGAAGACUUCUGAGAGAUUUUUGAUUGCUGAAAAGUACUUGGAAUUUUCAGGGAGUCUAAAACUUGUUAGUGAAGGAAUUGAGGUUUCCUUUUAUAGGCAACAAAUAGGGUAGAAUGUUCUAGAUGACACUCACACAUUUUUUCUCUUUUUAUUUUAGAUUUCACCUAUUAGUCUGGGAAUUUGCAGGGAGUCUAAAACUUGUUAAUGAAGGAAUUGAGGUUGCCUUUUAUAGGCAACAAAUAGGGUAGAAUGUUUUAGAUGACACUCACACUUUUUUUCUCUUUUAGUUUCAGAUUUCACCUAUUAUUCCUUUAAUUUCUGACUUGUUUCUUAAGUUGUUGUCCUAAUCAUACUGAAUUAUACACUAAACUCCUAUUCUAGAAGGCCCUACGGUGUUCUUUUAGCUAUACAAUACCUAUACUACCCCUAUCUUGAUUAUAAAAUUACUAUUCCUCAUAAAACAACCCUUUUCUAUGUCUAAGCUACCCUUAUUUACCACCUGAAAUUGCUAAAUCCAGCUGACUACACCAAACCCCUUACCCUUGGCUAAAAUCUAACUAGUGUUAACUAAAAAGGAUAAUGUAUUCAGCUAUAUCCAAACAACCUAUUUUAAACACUACCCUAAUUAACACUAAUAUUGAAUUAACACUGAAUUAACAACUAACAUAAACUGAAUCAAAUAUGGGUCGAAUCCAGAAGGAUAAAACAAAACAAAAUCAAUAUGAACAAAUUAAAUAAGUUUACAUCUAUUCCAAAUGUGUACCUGGAAAUGGAUUUGACAGAGGAAAGAGAUCAGUUACAAUAAACAGAUGAGCAGCAGCACAAUAGUACUUGAAAACCCAGAAAAUAGAAGGAAUAGCCCGGAAACUAAUUGAAUACAGCAGGAUUAGCAACAAAUGAUUCUAGCAGUAGAGAAAAACCAAAUCAAACCCCAAUAUUAUGUCAAAACCAAAUAGGACAGCAUAAUAAACACAAAAACAGUACCAGAAUGCUUAGAUAUUCGACCCAAAUCUAAUCGACCAGCUACUAAAUACCUCCAGAUACCCUUGUAAAGUAGAAGCAAAGAAAUUCAAAUAGAAGCUGAAAAUGAGUUAACUAGGCAAUGAAACAAGGAUAUAUUCUGAUUUUCUUUUUUUGUCUUUUUUGUUUUUCUUUUUAAUGUUUUGGAUUUUUUGAAGGUUUGAAUCCAAAAAAUACAGAUCUGAAAUAUAAGGAAAAGAAGACUUCUGAGAGAUUUUUGAUGGCUAAACGGUACAUGGAAUUUUCAAGGAGUCUAAAACUUGUUAAUGAAGUCAUUGAGGUUACCUUUUAUAGGCAACAAAUAGGGUAGAAUGUUCUAGAUGACACUCACACAUUUUUUUCUUUUAAUUUCAGAUUUCACCUAUUAGUCCUUUAAUUUCUGACUUGUUUCUCAAGUUACUGUCCUGAUUUUACUGAAUUAUAUACUAAACUCCUAUUCUUGAUGGCCCUACGCUGUUCUUUUAGCUAUACAAUACCUAUACUACCCCUAUCUUGAUUUUAAAAUUACUAUUCCUCAUAAAACAACCCUUUCUAUGUCUAAGCUACCCUUAUUUACCACCUGAAAUUACUAACUCCAGCUGACUACACCAAACCCCUUACCCUUGGCUAAAAUCUAACUAGUGUUAUUUAAAAAGGAUAAUGUAUUCAGCUAUAUCAAAACAACCUAUUUUAAACACUACCCUAAUUAGCACUAAUAUUGAAUUAACACUGAAUUAACAAUUAACAACUAACAUAAAUUGAAACAAAUCUGGGUCGAACCCAGAAGGGAAAAACAAAUAAAAAUCAAUAUGAACAAAUUAACACCUUCUUUGAACAAAUUAAAAGUAAACUAAACUUUAUAGUACCAGACUUUAAACCUCUAACAACGUUUUGUGGCUAACUAUUGAACAAGGUCAAAACCCAAAUUAAUCUUCAAACGAACAGGACAGGGAGAAAUCUAUCUAAACUAAAUAUUAAUUAAACCGAUUAAGCUAUUAAAUGAAGUAACGAAAGAGGAAAGAACUUAGAAUCGACCUAAUUAUCGUACUACUAAUUAACAAUGAAACAUGGACUACACUAACGAUGGUCAAACCAAAGAAGACGAGCAAAAGAAACUGAUAAAAUAAUAAAAACUAGAAGAGAAGACUCACCCAG
RNAcentral lists this long non-coding RNA (3003 nucleotides) under Nicotiana benthamiana. RNAcentral's name for it is "long non-coding RNA (NBEN_LNC017427)". Lineage: Eukaryota; Viridiplantae; Streptophyta; Magnoliopsida; Solanales; Solanaceae. The record is from RNAcentral.